This 272-nucleotide ribosomal RNA is filed under the name uncultured bacterium. RNAcentral describes it as "partial 16S ribosomal RNA". The record is from RNAcentral.
CUGCUGCCUUCCGUAGGAGUUUGGGCCGUGUCUCAGUCCCAAUGUGGUCGUUCACCCUCUCAGGCCGGCUACUGAUCGUCGCCUUGGUGGGCCGUUACCCCUCCAACCAGCUAAUCAGACGCGGGUCCAUCCUGUACCACCGGAGUUUUUCACACUGUACCAUGCGGUACUGUGCGCUUAUGCGGUUUUAGCACCUAUUUCUAAGUGUUAUCCCCCUGUACAGGGCAGGUUACCCACGCGUUACUCACCCGUCCGCCAUUAAGAUAAACAGG